This is a long non-coding RNA of Papaver somniferum (opium poppy), 231 nucleotides long. RefSeq lists it as uncharacterized. The transcript is spliced from 3 exons. Lineage: Eukaryota; Viridiplantae; Streptophyta; Magnoliopsida; Ranunculales; Papaveraceae. The record is from RefSeq and is a predicted model, not a curated record.
CGUCUCUUCUUCUCACUCAGCGGCAGCAUCAGUUUCUCGAUUCUCUUAGGGUUUGAAUCGAGAUUGAAUAUCAGUAAUAUCAGUGGAUCACCAUCUCUAUCAGGAUUCAGAUAUUGAGAAGAUUAGUCCAAAGGCCAAAGCAGAGAAGAAGGAAGAAUUAGAUUUUUGGGGUUCUCAAGUACUGCACAAUGGCUUGUGGCUGAACCGCUGAACGCUUAAGGAUCGUGAUUU